UUCACACAAGUGCUACAUCCAAGCCAGUCGUGAAACAAAAUGAUUUGGAUUUUCUCAUUUUUUCAAAGAAUACUUACUGAUGUGUUACGGAAGCUAAAAGGGAAAACCAAAUUGAUGAUAAUCAAUUCCUAUGGACAUAUCAAAGCAGGUGUUGAAUAUCUGAAAGCUCUAUUACCGUUUAUCUUAGUUUGGCAUGUGAUCAGAGAUUUUGAUAUUUCUGGAUGGAACUGGGCAUGACUGAUGGAGCUGAAGAUCUAUUUGGCAAGAUAAAACAUGCUCAAACGGAACCGUUGAGGAGUAGUACUAAACAGAAUGUGAUUAAAUCCCCACCGUGUUCAGAAGAAGAG
This 347-nucleotide long non-coding RNA is filed under the name Pan troglodytes (chimpanzee). Its description in RNAcentral is "lncRNA (ENSPTRG00000054504.1)". Lineage: Eukaryota; Metazoa; Chordata; Mammalia; Primates; Hominidae. The record is from RNAcentral.